GACGAACGCUGGCGGCGUGCCUAACACAUGCAAGUCGAACGGAACUGUUUUGAAAGAUUUCUUCGGAAUGAAUUUGAUUUAGUUUAGUGGCGGACGGGUGAGUAACGCGUGAGUAACCUGCCUUCAAGAGGGGGAUAACAUUCUGAAAAGAAUGCUAAUACCGCAUGACAUAUCGGAAUCACAUGGUUUUGAUAUCAAAGAUUUUAUCGCUUGAAGAUGGACUCGCGUCCGAUUAGUUAGUUGGUGAGGUAACGGCUCACCAAGACCGCGAUCGGUAGCCGGACUGAGAGGUUGAACGGCCACAUUGGGACUGAGACACGGCCCAGACUCCUACGGGAGGCAGCAGUGGGGGAUAUUGCGCAAUGGGGGCAACCCUGACGCAGCAACGCCGCGUGAAGGAUGAAGGUUUUCGGAUUGUAAACUUCUUUUAUUAAGGACGAAACUUGACGGUACUUAAUGAAUAAGCUCCGGC
RNAcentral lists this ribosomal RNA (472 nucleotides) under uncultured bacterium. Its description in RNAcentral is "bacterial SSU rRNA". It matches the Rfam family "Bacterial small subunit ribosomal RNA", at positions 28 to 497 of the family's 1533-position model. The record is from RNAcentral.